GAUGAACGCUGGCGGCGUGCCUAAUACAUGCAAGUCGAGCGAACAGAUAAGGAGCUUGCUCCUUUGACGUUAGCGGCGGACGGGUGAGUAACACGUGGGUAACCUACCUAUAAGACUGGGAUAACUUCGGGAAACCGGAGCUAAUACCGGAUAAUAUUUCGAACCGCAUGGUUCGAUAGUGAAAGAUGGUUUUGCUAUCACUUAUAGAUGGACCCGCGCCGUAUUAGCUAGUUGGUAAGGUAACGGCUUACCAAGGCGACGAUACGUAGCCGACCUGAGAGGGUGAUCGGCCACACUGGAACUGAGACACGGUCCAGACUCCUACGGGAGGCAGCAGUAGGGAAUCUUCCGCAAUGGGCGAAAGCCUGACGGAGCAACGCCGCGUGAGUGAUGAAGGUCUUCGGAUCGUAAAACUAUGUUAUUAGGGAAGAACAUACGUGUAAGUAACUGUGCACGUCUUGACGGUACCUAAUCAGAAAGCCACGGCUAACUACGUG
This 497-nucleotide ribosomal RNA is filed under the name uncultured bacterium. Its description in RNAcentral is "partial 16S ribosomal RNA". It matches the Rfam family "Bacterial small subunit ribosomal RNA", at positions 28 to 507 of the family's 1533-position model. The record is from RNAcentral.